RNAcentral lists this transfer RNA (88 nucleotides) under Candidatus Glassiibacteriota bacterium. RNAcentral describes it as "Candidatus Glassbacteria bacterium tRNA-Ser". It matches the Rfam family "tRNA". Rfam says of the family: Transfer RNA (tRNA) molecules are approximately 80 nucleotides in length. The record is from RNAcentral. RNAcentral also lists the same sequence under 1 other name. Lineage: Bacteria; Candidatus Glassiibacteriota.
GGAGAGGUGACCGAGAGGCCGAAGGUGCACGAUUGGAAAUCGUGUGAUGUGCAAGCAUCCGAGGGUUCGAAUCCCUCCCUCUCCGCCA